CGCCAGACUCCUACGGGAGGCAGCAGUGGGGAAUAUUGCACAAUGGGGGGAACCCUGAUGCAGCGACGCCGCGUGGGCGAGGAAGUAUUUCGGUAUGUAAAGCCCUAUCGGCAGGGAAGAAGAAAUGACGGUACCUGAAUAAGAAGCACCGGCUAAAUACGUGCCAGCAGCCGCGGUAAUACGUAUGGUGCAAGCGUUGUCCGGAUUUACUGGGUGUAAAGGGCGUGUAGCCGGGCUGACAAGUCAGAUGUGAAAUCCGGGGGCUCAACCCCCGAACUGCAUUUGAAACUGUUGGUCUUGAGUAUCGGAGAGGCAGGCGGAAUUCCUAGUGUAGCGGUGAAAUGCGUAGAUAUUAGGAGGAACACCAGUGGCGAAGGCGGCCUGCUGGACGACAACUGACGGUGAGGCGCGAAAGCGUGGGGAGCAAACAGGAUUAGAUACCCCAGUAC
RNAcentral lists this ribosomal RNA (449 nucleotides) under uncultured bacterium. Its description in RNAcentral is "partial 16S ribosomal RNA". It matches the Rfam family "Bacterial small subunit ribosomal RNA", at positions 329 to 793 of the family's 1533-position model. The record is from RNAcentral.